This 61-nucleotide transfer RNA is filed under the name Heterocephalus glaber (naked mole-rat). It matches the Rfam family "tRNA". Rfam says of the family: Transfer RNA (tRNA) molecules are approximately 80 nucleotides in length. Their secondary structure includes four short double-helical elements and three loops (D, anti-codon, and T loops). The record is from Rfam by way of RNAcentral. Lineage: Eukaryota; Metazoa; Chordata; Mammalia; Rodentia; Bathyergidae.
UUGGAGGUAGAGCACUUGUUUAGAAUGCAUGAGGCCCUGGGUUCAAUUCCCAGCCUACAAA